UUUCUCAUAAGGGUGGACCCUUGGGUACUUGUACCUAUCGCCUUCAGAGGACUGCACAUCCUCACCUUGAGAGGACUACACGUCCUCACCUUGAGAGGACUACACGUCCUCGCCUUGAGAGGACUACACGUCCUCACCAUCAGAGGGCUGCACGCCCUCACCUCCAGAGGACUACACGUCCUCGCCUUGAGAGGGCUACCCGCCCUCGCCUUGGCUACUAGUUACC
This 226-nucleotide long non-coding RNA is filed under the name Glycine max (soybean). RNAcentral's name for it is "long non-coding RNA (GMAX_LNC001791)". Lineage: Eukaryota; Viridiplantae; Streptophyta; Magnoliopsida; Fabales; Fabaceae. The record is from RNAcentral.